AAACAUCGCCUCUUGUAACUAUAAGAGGUCCAGCCUGCCCAGUGACUCAUGUUAAACGGCCGCGGUAUACUAACCGUGCAAAGGUAGCGCAAUCACUUGUCCCCUAAAUAGGGACUUGUAUGAAUGGCAUCACGAGGAUUUAACUGUCUCCUUUUUCCAAUCAGUGAAACUAAUCUUCCUGUGAAAAAGCAGGAAUACUCAUAUAAGACGAGAAGACCCUAUGAAGCUUUAAACAUAUAACAAAUGCCCCAAACACUUUUCCUGAAACCCAACCAACAGCACAUUGAUUAUAAGUUUUUGGUUGGGGUGACCACGGAGAAAAAUUAAACCUCCGCACUGCCUAAUCUAAAUUUAAAACUAAAAGUUACAACUUUAAUACUCAACAAAUUGACACAAUUGAUCCAAAUAUUUGAUCAAUGAACUAAGUUACUCUAGGGAUAACAGCGCAAUCCACUUCAAGAGCACAUAUCGACAAGUGGGCUUACGACCUCGAUGUUGGAUCAGGGUAUCCUAGUGGUGCAGCCGCUACUAAAGGUUCGUUUGUUCAACGAUUAAAACCCUACGUGAUCU
RNAcentral lists this ribosomal RNA (570 nucleotides) under Craugastor pygmaeus (pygmy free-fingered frog). RNAcentral describes it as "partial large subunit ribosomal RNA". It matches the Rfam family "Bacterial large subunit ribosomal RNA", at positions 1811 to 2606 of the family's 2925-position model. The record is from RNAcentral. Lineage: Eukaryota; Metazoa; Chordata; Amphibia; Anura; Craugastoridae.